RNAcentral lists this unclassified non-coding RNA (231 nucleotides) under Hevea brasiliensis (rubber tree). The record is from RNAcentral. Lineage: Eukaryota; Viridiplantae; Streptophyta; Magnoliopsida; Malpighiales; Euphorbiaceae.
GCAUUAUUCACUGACACUGUUUACGGGUACUAUUCACAGUGUGUGGACCUAUUUUCUGGCUUUUUUCCAACUGCUGGUCGUAUACCGCGCCUUUACCGAGACCUUGCUUUCAAUUUGGUUUGCUAUUUUUUGUUUUUCGAUACCCAUUUUUUCAAGCACUGUUUCAGUAGUUUUUCUUUUCCUCUUGAUUUAAGCUAGCUGAUGGAAAGAAGAUUGCUUCUAAAACAAAAU